RNAcentral lists this long non-coding RNA (28579 nucleotides) under Gossypium barbadense (sea-island cotton). RNAcentral describes it as "long non-coding RNA (GBAR_LNC017073)". The record is from RNAcentral. Lineage: Eukaryota; Viridiplantae; Streptophyta; Magnoliopsida; Malvales; Malvaceae.
GGGUUUAGAAGAUUUCUCUCCAUUGAAUGCUUCGAAUUCUAUUUCUUCCUUAGUUGUUUUAGUCUUGGGGAUUGAUUUUUUGAACCAAGAUGAUUCCGUGAUCUUGGAGAUGGCGAUUCGGGUUUUCGGGUUCGGGUCUAAAAGCUUGGAUAUUAGCCUCCGAGCUUCAGGUGAGAACCAUGGCGGACACUUGAAAUCUCCUCUGUAAAUCUUCUUAUACAUCGCCACCAAGUUAUCAUCUUGAAACGGUAAAAACCCGGCGAGAAGAACGUAUAAAAUCACCCCACAAGACCAAAUAUCCGCCUUGGCUCCGUCGUACCCUUUUUUUCCAAUGACUUCCGGCGCCACAUACGCCGGCGUUCCGCAAGUCGUGUGCAACAACCCGUCUUGUUUCAAAUGUUCCGUGAAAGCGCUGAGUCCGAAAUCGGUGACCUUCAAGUUGCCUUCUUCGUCUAAGAGAAGAUUCUCCGGCUUCAAAUCACGGUGGUAAACGCCGCGGCUGUGGCAGAAAUCGACGGCGGAAACGAGCUGCUGGAAGUAAACCCUGGCAGCGUCUUCCUUGAGACGACCUUUGGCGAUUUUCGAGAAGAGCUCGCCGCCGCGGACGAGCUCCAUGGCGAAGUAAAUCUUGGACUUGCUCGCCAUCACUUCGUGCAGCUCGACGAUGUUGGGGUGUUUCACCAUUUUCAUGACGGAGAUCUCUCGCUUGAUCUGCUCCAUCAUCCCGACUUGGAUCACUUUCUCUUUGCCCACCACUUUCAUGGCGACAUUCUUCCCUGUUUGAAGGUUCUUCGCAUGGUAGACUUUGGCGAAGGUUCCAUGACCCAACAUACGGCCAAGCUCGUAUUUUCCAUGGAGUAAAGAUGGGUUUUCGGUUUUAGCUUUGUCCGCCAUUUUUGAACCGUAAAAGCUCGAGAAAUUAAAAAGAAAAAUAAGAAAAGAAACGGAUACCCUUUGAUCUGAAGUACUGUAUAUUUACAAUAUAAGUGAGAAAUAUAUGUAUAUUUAAAACUGAAAGCCUUCAAACUGAAUCACCCGUCUUCGACGUGUUUUCGGUGACAAUUUCGGCCGCCGAUGGAGCGCUUACGGUGGUAACAAAGCUCAGGCCUUGCCAACGAUGAACGUCUCAUCUCUCUGCAUUCCCCAAGGGGAUUUUUACACUUGUAAAAUUAUAAUGAAAAAAAAAAAAAGCCUUUUGCUGUAAUCUCCAAUAGGCAGAGGAGAUUUGAAGCUUUUUGCUCUUUCUCUUUUGGGAUUCAAUGCUCAAGGGUCCAACUUAUACAAGUUUUCAGAGCCUGGAAUUCCCGUUUUGUCCCUUGUAUUAUGGUCAAAUGUAUAAAUGGUCCUUAUACUAUGUACUUUUUAUGGGCUUAAUCACUCUUUUAUAAUUUGUGUAUUUUUCGGUCAAGAGGUAAUUAGUGUCGGAAAAUACAAAAACAAAAAAGUAUGAGAUUAUAGUAAAAGGACUAAAUGUGCGAAAAUGAUAUAGCAUUUGACCUUGAAUGAUCAUGAUAUGAACAGUAAAAUGGUGACACGUGGGAAGCCUUCCAGCAAUGAUCUGACCGUUUUGUCCUUGUUGACGGUAGGUUCUUAAUAAUUCCGUAUUAGUAAUUCUAUCAAAAUUACAUGUUUACCACUGCCACGUCAAUAAAUAAAUAUUUCAACAUGCGGUUCUCCAUUCAUCCAUUCUAAUAUCAUAAAAUUCAAUCAUUUUAUUUCUUCCAACUAAAGCCAUAUUUUUAAUACCAAAUAUCACAGUCAAAUGGUCAGGUUCUGAGUACACGUGUAAGGUAUUAAAUUUUCCUUUUUCGAUGACUAAAUUGUAAAAAAAUUAAAAAUUAUAGAAAUAAACCGAUUUUUUAAAUAUUUAUAAGAAUAAGCUGAUUUUGGUAGGCGUUUUUAGGGGAAACUUAAAAAAACUCUUUCAGCUAAAAGUAUUUCUACCACAUCAAUAUUAAAAGUGACGACAUUAAUUUUAUUUUAUUUUUGGUGACACCUAUUAAUGUGAAAAUAAAAUUUACAAAACAAGCCUUUAUAUAGACCUAAAGUUUUAUUUCAUUGUUUUCUUAAGCAAUGUGAGAUAUGAGAUAUGUGUUUAUAUAAACUCGUUUGCAAUUUGUUUCUAGACAAUAUAGAAUUGAUUCCUUAAAUUGUGAUAUAUAUAGACAAUUAGACUCAUGAAUAUGUUUAAUCCACCACUUUGCCUAAAUAAUUAUUUUAUUUAAAUCUUCUUUUUUUCACCAAAUUUUUAGUAUCACAAUUCCAAAUCCUAAAAAAUUUGGAAGAGUAUGGCCCCUACUAUCUUUGUGCAUAGAUAAAUCUUGAUUUUUAUUUUCGUCCAUACAUAUUAUUAUUUGUUAAAAUAUAUUGAAGUCCUUGUAUUCUUGAUAAGUUUAGAAUUUAGGCCUUUUAUUUUAUUUCAAAUAAUUUAGUUUAUCUAUUUUUUGAAUUUAAAAAUACAAGUCUAAUUGUUAACAUUAUUAAAAUCAUUUUGUUAAAUUUAUUGGUGUGACUAAAUAAAAAAUUCACAAAUAUUAUAAAAUCUGGAUUAAUGACUAAACUGACUAACCCAUCGAUUUUCGAUUUAAUUGUUCAACAAUAUUUAAAUAAAAAAAUUCAAAUCAGCUCUAGAUUUUGUGACAAGUGUUGAACUCUGAUUUCCAACAGGUAGCUCCAAAUCAUAUUAGAUAAAAGACAAGAUUAAAAGUUGUGCAAGAAAAAGGAAAGAACAUUAUCCUUAAAUCAUAACUCUUUUCAAAGUAAAUUAUAAAUCUUCAAAUUAAAGUGUAGCCCAACUAUUUUAAAUACACAUGUAGAAAAAAAAUUAAAAUUAUUUUUUGAGUAUGUCAAAUAUAGAUUUUAACUAGUAUGCCACAUGGAAAUUAAUAAUUUUAAUUACUCAUUAUAAAAAUAAAAAAAUUUUAAUUAUUUUUUUUAACUUUGUUUCUUUAUUAUAUUAGAUAUAGACUUUAGAUUCACACUUUUCAUAUAAAUCAAUUAUUUUAAAUAUAAUAGUUAAACAUUAAAAAAAGACAUAUAAAUACAAUCACUUUAUGAUUUUUAAGAAUAUAUUUUAAGAAAAAAUCAAUUUACAUAUUGACAACUUAAAUUUCAGAAUCUAUAUGUCUUCAAAAAAAACACAAUUUAUAUUGAACAUAUUCAUGAGUCUAUAUAUCACAAUUUAAGGAAGUAAUCCCACAUUGUCUAGGAACAUGCUACAAACCUAUUCAUGAGUUUAUAUAUACACAUAUCUCAUAUCCCACAUUAUUUAAGAAAACAAGGAAAAUGAGACUUUGAGCCAAUAUAAAAGUCAAUUUUGUAAGUUUUAUUUCCACAUUAAUAGGUGGUGGUGCCACUUUUAGUGUUGAAGUUGGAAGCGUUUUUUUGGGUUUCCCCUGAAAAUUGGAAGUGUUUUACCAAAAUCAGUCCAUUCUUAUAAAUUUUCAAAAAAUCAGCCUAUUUUCGUGAAUUUUUUAAAAAUGAUUUUUUUUGUUUUAAUUUAGUCCAUAUUAAAUGAAGAAAAUAUUAAUUCAACAUUGUAAUAUUUACGUCAAAUUCGACUCUUACUAGAUUUAAUUUCUAUAUUUUAAUUUGGACAUUUUUAGUUUAUAUACUUUUCAAAUUUUAAAAUUUCAAUCUUACCCAAACAGUAACCGUUAAAUCGGUUAAUUUAAAUUCUACUAUUUCUAAAAUUUUAUACGAGUAUAUUAUCCCAUGUGGAAUCAUAGGUGAAGCUAAGAAUUUUUGAUUGGGGGCUGGAAUAAAAAUAUAAAUUGUUGGGGCUAAAAUUAAAAUUUGUAUGCUAAAAAAUGUUAAAUUGAAUUAUUAUAUUUCAAAAGUGUCCAAAAAAAAGUAAUUUAACUAUUUUAUUCGGGGGGACGAGAGAGACUACUGCUCCUUUGGAUUCACCCCUCUAUGUAAUACUAUAUCAAUUUGUUAUUUUCAUAUAAUAUUCACAAAAACCACGACAUUUAGUUAAUGAAUUUGAUGGUUACUGUUUAAGUCAAAAUUAAAAUUUUAAAAUUCAAAAAAUAUAAAAACUAAAAGUAAUCAAAUUGGAGAAUGUGAACUAAACUCACAACUUACAUGUAAUACAUGGUUAAUAACAAUAUUUGUCUUAAUAAAUUUAGUUGUUACUAUUUAAGUUAAGGUAAACUACAUCACAAGUUACCUAAUUAUGAGCCAUUUUUUUUAGUCACCCAUCUAUGAUUUUUUUUUAAAAAAAUUGGUCACCCAAUUAUGUACUUGUUUUUAAAUGAGUCACCCAACUAAUCAAGAUUGUUCUUUUUGGUCCAUUUCCGUUAAUUGCACUAACAGGAGGGUGACAUGAUAAUUAAAAAAUGAUAUAAUAAUAAAUUUAGCCCUCAAAUUUUACAUAUUAUAUCGAUUUAGUCAUAAUUUUAAAAAUUUAACCCUCAAAAUUUACAAAUGCUCUCAAUUUGAUCCUAAUUCUAAAAUUUUUAAAGAAAUAUAUAAAAAUACAACAAUAAUUUCAAAAAAAUAAAAAAAUGAUUGUUGACUGGAAGUAAUAAUAUAUAAAAUUUAAAAUAUAUAAAACGCAUAAUUUUUUUAAAAUAUAAAAAUUAAAAUAAAUUUUAUAUUAAUAUUAAAUAAAAAUAAAUUUAAUACUAAUAUUAAAUAAAAAUAAUGAUUUUAAAUAUAUUAUUAUAUUUUUGUGAAAACAUUUAUGUAUUUUUAUAUAUUUCUUUAAUUUUUUUAGAAUUAGGAUCAAAUUAAGACUAUUUGUAAAUUUUGAGGGUUAUUUUUUUUAAAAUUAUGACUAAAUCGAUAUAAUAUGUAAAAAUUGAGGGAUAAAUUUAUUAUUAUACCGCUUUUUCGACUACCACAUCACUCUCAUGUUAGUCCAUUAACAAAAAUGUACCGAUCUUGAUUAACUGGUGACCAAUUUAAAAGAAUUCAUAGUUAAAUGGAAAAAAAAUCAGAAUUGGAUGAUAAAAGAAAAUGUACUAUACUUAGGUAAGUUGUAUUAUAGUUUACUAUUGAGAUAUUUAAAACUCAAAAGAUUUAAUAAAUGAAGUUAUUUCCUUUUAGAAAUAUAAUAUUCUUUCGCAUAUUCUUUAUUUUUGACUCAAGGUUUUGUUAGUAUACAAUUAAUGGCAAAAUAUAGGCAUCACAUGGCAUACUAUUUAAUAUAUUUCUUUUACAAACAACCAUGCCAUGCAUGGAUGGUGGAGUAACAAGCAAUUUCAUCACAUUUCCAAUAUAUAUUUUUUGUUUAUCAACCUUCACAUGCAUAUUAUAUCUAUAUCAACCAAUUUAAUUGGAUAAUGAGGACAAAUAUCUCUAUUUUAUAAAAUAUAUUGUAUUGUUUUGAGGGUGUUUUUGUUAUUUUAUUUAUUUUUAUAUAAAAAAUAUAUACAAAAUAUGGAUGUUGAAGGGAGCCGGCUCCUUCCAAAGUAGCCUUUGAAGUGUUGUUUGUCAAGAGCCAACGAAUCUCUCAACAAAUCGGAUAUUGUCCUCGAAGAUGGGUUUUAUCUAUUGAUUCCAUUCAGAGCUAUGCGCAGUUCAUGAACUGGGAGCGCGUCAUUAGAUGCCUAAUAAAGUAGAUCGUAUGUAUGCACAAAGUCACUAAAGUUAACCAAGACAAAUCGAGAAAUUGCAAACUAGUCUGAACCAAAGUGUUUGGGCUAUUAAUAGAAUAAAAAUUUAAAAACAGUGAUUACGCAAUUGAACUAAAUUCUAUUUAUAUUUAAUUUAUAAUUCAUUUUAAUCUUUUAUUAUAUAAAAUAAAUAUUUUAUAUUUAAAAUAGUGUAUUAAUUUAAGAGUUCUAAGAUUAUCUAAUUAAUUGUCAAUGCAGCUUGGGCGAAGAUCUUGUACUUUAAAAAUCUUAGUUCGAGUCUCAUUUUACAUAAAUUAUAUAUGGGUUUUCUACCUUUAUCCAGACUUAAAUCAAAGAAAUUCAAGCUGGAUUGGGGCAAGCUUAAUUAUCUUUAGCAUCCAUUCGGGUAGUGGAAGGGUUAAAAUUUGGUCGCCGGACCGGACCAGACCAGAUCACCCACGUAAUUGCAAUUAUUUGGUAUAAUUUUUCUGAUUAUUUACCGCAAAAAAACAAUCAUAUAAAAUAAUAAUAUCCUUAGAUCUAAUUAGCUUUGAGCUUCGAGAGAGUUUAUGAGUCAUUUGAAAAAUAAGUAAUUUUUAAUAUUUGAUUGAAAUUAGGAUAUUUAGGUAAUGAUUGGUUCUAUUGUGAUGAAUAAUUUUCGAAGAGAUAAAUGAUCGACUAUAAAAUGUGUUCUAUGUCUUUAAAUAGAGAUUGAACUUUCAACCAUAUAAUUAAGAAAUGAUAUAAAUAACUACCACGCUACACCUAAUCGUUAAAUAAUUUUUAAAAUAUUUAUUCACACAUUUUAAAUUCUAAUUCUUGAAUGUAAUCCAUGUGUAAUUAAUUUAAAAUAAUUUAUUUUUGUUUAACUUAUAAUUAAAAAUAUAAAAUAAAAAAAUUUUGAUUCUCUCUUGCUGAUUAACCAACAAACCAAAUGUUAGUGUCAUGGGUGCAGCCUUAGGCAGUUUCUUUGCUCAAAAACGCCUAAGUCAGCUGUAGCGACGUAAAAAUUUUGGUUUCGGUCGCUAAUUGUGGCGAUUUAUUCCUUUCCAUUAAAACGCAGCACAUUGGCGGGGACUAAAUCGAAAAGCACGAGAAAUUAUAGGGCCAAAUUGAAAACCAUAAAAAACUUAAUUGUGAAGCAUCAGAAAAGCGGAAGGACUGCGCGCAUAAAUAUCCCAUUCAAACGAAAACACGCGGAUCUUCUAGCGGGUCGGGUCGGAUGGGUCGGGCAUGGCCAAAACGACGUCGUUUUGGGGCUUAAGUGUAGCCCCCAAAACGACGUCGUUUUGGAGGGCUAUAUAAGGCCUAAAAUAACCCAAAAAAUCAUUUGGGGAGAGGGAAAGAAAAAAAAGAAGAGAGAGGGAAGAGAGAAGGGAGAGAGAAGAGAGGGGAAUCCGGCCAGGGGCCGGUCAUCGGACGGCCACCGGAGGCUCGCCGGCGCCGGCGCCGGCCACCGCACGCGAUGGCCGAAAAAGGUAAAAAAUAUAUAUAUUUUUUUAUUUUUUUCUAUUUUUUUAUGCUUAAUAGUUUUUAUGUUUUGAUAUUUUUAGUAUUUUUAUGUAAAAAACAAACUCAAAACAGUAAAGAAAAAAAAGAAAAAAAAAGUCACCUUAGGUUUUAGAUUUGAUUCUCCGAUUUGGUGUUAGAGCCUCUGAUUGUAUAUGUAUUUUCGAAUGGUUCUUGUAUUUAAUCUGUUAAUAUUGAAAGAAAAUCUUUGUUUUCAUAAAAAAAAUCCCCUUUUACAAAUGUUUAUUUCUCAGCUUUAUAGCCGACUACAAAACUAGGAAAAUAUUGUUUAUCUUUUGUCCCGUUCUGUUUGGUCUGCUUCUGUCUUUGCAGGGUAUGGAGGAGCUGGUGGUGGAGGAGGAGCAUGCGGCGGCAGAUGGUGUCAGACGCGUGGGGGUAUGGGGCUGCUAUAGUGGAGCAGUGUAUGGGGCUAAGUACAAGUGGGGAAGGUUGCGGCUGAGUAGGCUAAGGUUUCUGAAACCCUAAGUCUGGAGUUUGGGCUUCUGGGCCUGGGUCAAGUGUUGGGUUUUGGGUAGUUGGGCUAAGGUUUGGGCUUGUUUUGUUUAAUGGGCUUAUUGGGUUAGGGGUUUUUGGAUUAGGGUAGGUUAGUUAUUGGGUUUUGGGGGUGGCCCAAAAUUGGCCUGUACAUCAGCCUAACUCGCAACGAUAAAGGAUUCAACAAAAUUCCCUCAAGGCACCCACGAAGAACAACAGAAGAACGAAGUAAGAACGAACUUUGAAAGAUGAACAAAAGCCAAAGAAAAGCAAGAACAGGAUCGUUAUUACUGGCCUCACAUAGGUGUUGAUGUGGAAACCUAUGUGAAAACUUGUCUAGUAUGCCAACAAGACAAGGGCGUCGCUAGAAUAAGUGGGGGAGAAUGUCAUGGGUUGCGCAUGGGAGCACGCAACCAUGUCAAACUUGUGCGAUCCAUCGUAUCAAAGAAACUGCCUAAGGCCGCAUGGGAAAACUCUAAGUCCGUGACACUAGUACUAAGAAGACAAAGUCAAUAAAAAUAAGGAAAUGCAAGGAUAAAUUAUCAUUUUGACUCCUCUAUUAUGGGUAGAGUAUAAGAAAGAAUUAUAACGUUACAAACAAAUGUUAAGAUACAAUAAUCAAGAAUAUUAUACUUUUAUAAAAACAAUUUAAUUCAAAUUUUAUUUAAAAGAAGUAAUUAAAAAAAUUAAUUUUUGUACAUCAUAAAUAAUGUUUUUUUUACACAAACUAAUUAUUUUAAGCUAUCAUAAAUGAAAGGUUACUCGCUUCAUCAACCCCAAGGUCGGCUACGAGUUCUUAAGGUGGGUUGACAAACACUUAUACGUUUGUACUCCUCUCUGAAGUCAUCUUAGCAAGACGACCAACAACUUGAUUUCUCUCACUUGAAAUAUGUUUAAUUUGCCAUUGUUCCAUGAUUUGUAAUAUCAGGUGGAUCAUUUUUACUAAAAUUGAGUUUAAUUCAAUCAAGUGUCCGUCUUAAAAACUUUGACGACCUCUGAACUAUCAGUCUAAAAUUUAACAUAAAAAACUGAACUAUUCCCAAAUGAGUGCAUCCAAAGAUCCAUUUUCAAAUUUGGUCGCAUAUCACACCCGAGCAAAAGCAAAACCUAUAUCCAUCUUUAAUCAUUAAAAGAACCACAACCGUAAUUGGAUUAAAAUAAAAUAAAAAUAAAAGGAAGGCUGUUUUUGGUUCAGGUUGUAUUCAAAGGUUUAAUGAUAAUAUUUUUGGGGUCCAUAUCUCGUACGUUUGGUAUGUCUGUCUUUAGUCUCUAUUGUCUUCUAAAGGAAUUGACCCCACUGGCCCCUUCAAAAAUUAAGACAUAAAAUUUCAUAAUAUAAAUUUAAAAUAAUUAUAAUAAUUCAGUGGCAUGUGGCUCAAACUUUCCAAAAGUUUGAGUUUUGUGACAGGGACAGCCGGAAUCCGACAAGCACCUUACUUGAUGCAAUUUGUCUUAAGUUUUGUGAUGUCAUCCCACAAGUAAAAGUUUGAUUUUUUUUAAAAUUAAAUUAGUACUAGGAGAGAUUAUUCCUUUCUUUAACAAUUUAGUUUGAUUUUACUUUAAAUUUACUUAUAACUUAAUAUUCAUAAUCUAUAAUCUAUAAUAUUAUUAAUUUGAUAUUUUAAAAUAAUUAUAACCAAUUUCAAUAAGUUAAAAAGAUAUAUUAAAAUAAAAUUUACGAUAAUUAUUUUAUAGAUUUAGAUUUAUUUAAAUUAUAAUAAAAUAACUAAAAAUGAAUUAGUACACAAUAAUUAUAAUAAAAUAAAAUUGUGAUAAUUAUAACAAAUUUAAACCAAUUAGAAACUCUUUCUAUUUCUCUUUCCUAUAGUUAGGGUUUUUAAUAUUUUUAAGUUUAGGGUUUAAGAUUUUUAAUAUUUUUAAGUUUAAGGUUUUUUAAAAGGAUUUGGGGUUUUUAACUGAAAUUGGGAAAUUUCAAAGGUAGUUUUGAGGAGUUGGGGAUAUGAUAACACAGUUCAUAAUACAUACAUUUCAUAUGUCGUGGUAAGACAUAUCACUCCAGAAACCCAUUUUGGGGAAAUAUGGUUUCGGGGUGAUUGUGCUUGAUAAGAUCAAGGGUCGAAGUCCAAAUGGAGGUCCUAGUUGACGACCAUGAUACGGUCACAGAUUCGAGUAUAACUGAUGGCCAGUUGACAGUCGUUACGCUGUUACAAGUUCAAGCUUUUUGGAUACCCCGCAAAUGAUGCCUUAUGUAUACCAUACAUAAGAUUGAGGUCAUAAUCAUAAGGAAAAAUGGAGAGAUUUUCAAUGUAAACAACGUAAUUUUUUUCUCUAUUUCCUCACAGCUGGUAUCUUUAACAUUUCAUUCUUAUCCGAAGGCUAACAUUAAGGUAAACACAAGAGGACUCUCAAAGGAGAGCAGAUGUUUCGACGGAAGUAGAGGUCAAACUCAGGUCAGCAUGAAAGCGGUUGUAGUUAUUAAUGAUUUGUUUAAUAACGACAAUUACUGUCAGCUUGAAAGGAACAUCACGUUUACUCCACUAAAAUAGUCACUCCCUGCCUGAUAGUCCUCCUUCGUCGACGACGGUGUUGGCUUUUGAAUAAGAAGUAAGGUUAAAGGUAUCAGUUACUUGGAAAUUGAGAAAAAAAUUAUGCCGAUUAUAGCAGGAAUGCCUACAAUUUUUCCCUAUGAUUAUGCCUUUAAACUUUCAUAUGUUAUUUAUAAGUUAACAUUUUUGGGUAUCCGAAAACUUUGAGCUCAUGGCCGUGUAACAAUCAUCAACUGGCUCCCCCGUUAUACCUCAAUCCAUGAUUGCAUAAUGGCCAUCGAUUGAGACCUCCACGUAUACUACCACUCGGGAACCCGACUUCCCUAGUAUAAGCUUCGGGGUAAUGGUCCCAUCUCGGCGUGAUAUAUGAAAUGUGUGUGGCUCGAAGUGAUAUCGCGUCACUGACGAAUCAAUAAUACCUUGAACAUCAACCAAAAAUUUUUAUCGACAAAAUUUUUUUACACCGAGAAGUGUUUACUAGAAGAGGGAUGGAGAAGUUGUGGGAGAAGAUUUUUGAGGGACGAUGAAGUAUGAAGUGGAAGACUUCUUUUUAUAGCUAUGAGGGAAGGGUUGGAUUCCAAAGUAGAAAUUUUUCGUAGUCAAAAACACACUGCAAGACUAGCGUCUUCUAGGAAUAUAUUCUAAACUUGCCUAAAAAAUUGAUGCUCGUUGGAAGAAAAAGGGCAUGUGCUUUUGAAGAAAAUGGUUAAAGAAAGCACGCACAACUGGGCGUGCUUUCUUUAACAAUUUUUCAGUUGAAAAUUAAAAGCAGACGAUACCAAGGAAUAUUUUUGUAUAAUUGAUGUACGUUUCGAGGUGUCAAACAUUAUUAGGGGCACUAUUUAAAUAAAAUAUUAUAAUUUCAAGAACGCGCUUUCGAAUAAUACUUUGCACUUCAUCAUCAUUGUUCAACAACAUGUAUUCAUAAACAGAUAUUGAUGCACAUAUUCCCUCUCUCGCUGGCUUAUUUUCCUAUUAAAGGCAUGUAAUUUGCAUAACUUUGAGACACAUCAAAUUAAUAUAAGAAAUUAAAUUGUUGCGUCGCGAAACUCAUGUGUACUUCUGACAAGCCUCUACUUUUUUUUGGUAUUGUUAAUCCAAUUCGUGAUCGAUAUUGAAAUGAGUCGAUGAGUGAAAUUCGUUAUCUACUUUGAUGGUCAGCUUUAUAAUACAAAGGUCGAUGUGGUAUUUGUAGGAGCACAGCCCAUGGAAUUAACGUUCAAUCGUGGCAUUCAACUGCGUGAGCUACGGACUAGAAUCAAGAGGAAAGUUGUAGGUUUAACUCGGGGAAAAAUUUUGAGGUUGCAAUGUAGAUACCUUGCUAUAGUUGACCCCUAUAAGUAUGACCUAUUUGAUAUGAAUAUGACAUAUUUGAUGUGAAUGGCGAGCUCUAGCUCGAGACGAUCAUAUCAUUGUACGUCUCAAGCAGAAAUGUUGUAAUUGGUUUAUACGUCGAGUUUACCGAUGUUUAUGGUUCUGGCCCAUCUUCGACCAUCAUUGUUGUGAAUGUUGGAAUUGAGGCCGAAGUAGAAAGUCCCACAACAUGGUUGUAUGGUGGGUUCGCUGACUUGUUACAAAGCUCUUAUUAUGAUGUCCCUGAAAUAUCUACUAGAAGCACUUGUCGGUCUCCAGCAUAGAUCUAAACUUCGAGAGCUAGUACUAGUCAGGGUAUGAGCAUAACCCUAAUCUUGACAUUCGAGCUCGACUUUUAAUUAGUGUGUUUGAUUUCAACUUCUGUAUGGGUUCAAUGUCAUGAGCCAAAAGCACAAAUACCGGGUGUUCAUCAAUGUACACCAGAUACCAAACCGGUGUAAAUUUUGGCGAGCACAUAGGUUAUAGAAGAACCGUUGACUUACUCUUUUCCAUGGGGACUGGCGAGGGUACAUUGAACCCCUUACUAGAAAGGGACAAUGGAGGUGUAGAUGAGGAAAAAGAUGCGAUCGAGGAAGAAGAUGUGGUCGAGGAAGAAUAUGCAAGUGAGGAACAAGUAACAACGGAUGCAUUUGACUGGAAGGAGUCAAACCCUGAGCCAAUCCGAUAGUAUGGACCAGAUGGUUUGAGGUGGCAUUAUCUUUUGAACUGGAGUCAGUUUCAACAGAGCUAGAAUCUUACGGGUCUGAUGGUGACGACUCAGACAAUGUUCUGGAUCCAGAUUCGCGAUAUAGGGCAUAUGAACCUCUGCCCCACAACCAAAAUUAUCGUAUCAACCGAGGGUAGUUUAGAGUUUUCAUGUCUACUGCACAGAACACCUGACCAUGCAAGCACAUCGCAUGACAUAAAUGUACUAGAAGUUGGUAUGGAAUACCUAAAGAAAUAUGUUUUUUUUGCUACACUAAAGUGGUACAGCCUCAAGAAUGGUGUCAAAUACCAUGUCAUGUAGUCCUAUUCCGAUAAAUUCGAGGAAAAAUAUGCAAUUCGCAACGAGAGGUGCAAGUGGAAAAUCAUGGCAUCUUUACGGAAGAAGACCGAGCUGUGGAUGAUAAAGAAGUAUUCUGGUCUACAUACCUCUGUUGCGGCAGGUGCAAGUCAGUAUUAUCCAAUGCUAGAUUUUGACAUUAUUCUACCGAUGAUGAAGGCGAGUCUUAGGAUUCCUGUCCUGGUGUUGCUUGCGAACAUCCAUAGCUAGUUUAAUUACACUCUAUUGUACUAGAAAGUGUAGGUUAGAAAAUAGAAGGCUAUGAAUAAGUUGCAUCAUGGUUGGGAUAGUUUGUACAACUAUCUUUGGCAAUGGUGUCAGGUGUUGGAUCGAUAUAUUCUAGAUUCCAUAACUGAUCUAAAAAUGCAUCUAGCGUACUUUGGCGAUCGAUUGGUCCUUGGGAAAAGAGUAUUCAGUCAAUUAUUUUGGACUUUUAAAUAAUGUAGAAAAGCUUUUCAGUUUUUGGCACUGCAAGUCUUUGCUGCAAAUUGAUAGUACUCGAUUGUACGGAAGGCAUGAGCAUCAGUUGUUGAUUGUUGUUGCUCAAACAGUAAUAAAAGGAUUCUGCCAGUUGCAUUAGUAAUAACUCCAAAAGAAAAGGUAGAUGACUGAGAUUUUUUCCUAAGCAGGUUACGCCGUUGCAUUUACACCUAGUCUGACAUAUGUGUCAUAUCAGACAAGGGAACCGAAAUCCUGUCCACUAUUGACUACCAUGGUAGCAUUUGGUAUCGCACCCAUUACAAGUACUGCAUACGACAUGUUAGAUCCAACUAUCACUCAAAAUAGCCUUCGAAAAGUGAGCGAGAUGCAGUCAUCGAUAUAGGUAUGUAAAUGGCACUAUCUACAUAGUUAUGUUGUACCCUAUUUCUUUCAUUGUUUGCAUUAAUGGGUGUGUUUUUCUUAAUAGGUUAUGAGUUCGUCCAACAUUAUUUCAUGAAAUAUUGAACAACUUAGGCGCCAUCAACAGCUAUAGUGCGACAUACCUCGCCAACAUACCUUUCGAACAGUAGACGCAAUCGUAUGACGGGCGUUUAGGGUAUAGGUACAUGACGUCAAACUUAGCAGAGUGUAUCAAUUUUGUAUUAAAGGGGACAUGUCAUUUGCCGAUAAUCUCGAUUGUGAAAGAAACAUACUUUCACCGAGCUGUGUUAUUUCUAAAGAGGAGGGCGACAUACGCUGGACAGAUAGCGGGCGACCAUACUUGUUGUGAGGAUGUAAUGAAAGAAGUCAGAUGAAAUACGGUAAGAGCGAAAAAUAUGUAUUUAGUGUGCCACUCGCAUCGGAACCUAAAAUUUUGAGUCAUGGAGCACGCUAGGCCUGGAAUUUCAAAUUAGAACAUGUCAGAGGCAUCAUUUCAUGCUGACCUAAUAGGAGAGACUUGCGAUUAUGGGAGGUUCCAAGCUCUUCAAUUCUCAUGCGCACAUGUAAUUGCUACAUGUGGAAACCUAAGAAUUUAGUACACGCCUUACAUCAACAAUGCGUAUAGUCUAAAACACAUAUAUAGAGUAUGGCGUCCUAAAUUCUAACCCGUCCCAGAUGAGAGUAUGUGGUCACCAAUGUCCAGCGUGCUGCUCGAGUUGGCACCGAACAUGAACCUGCAUCAUGUCAAUAGAGGUUAUCUGAAUACCACCUGGAUACAGAACUAGGAUAUUCAGGAGAGAGACAGUCAAUAUAGGCUUUAUGGGUAUUGUAGAAACCCAAGGCAUACGAAAGCAACAUGUUCUGUGUUGAGGGGUACUUUGAGACCUCAACGUUGAUAGCAAUAUUUUUGGGAAAAGUAUAUAUUCAUUAUGGUGCUUCCAUUAUUCUACUGUUCAAAAUUUUUUAUUUAUUAUUAACUUACGCAUAUAUCAUAUUAGAAUGUAAUGAAGACAAAUAUAGUGUUGAAAUGAAAAUCUAUGGUUCAUUUAUUUAUGUCAUAUAUAUUUACUUUGCAGUAAUAAUAAUACAUCAAUCGCAUCGUGGGGGAUAAUAUGCGCCACAAGGCGGUGGACGAUGCUCGCGAGAAGGAUUUCUGUGCACAAUUAAAAAUGCUCAAAUCCAAUGUCGUCUUGACCUCCCAUCAUGUAUCCUUCACUCCAUUGAUUGUCGGUUGUGUCGAUGGCCCACCCUGAUAAAAUAAUGAUACAAACGAUGUUUUUGUCACUAUCGGCGUGUAACAGUAAGGCACAACAAAAUACAGAUACAUCGGCAUUGACUUAGGCAUCGACAAUGACAUCGACAUCUACAUCGGUGUUGUCAUCGCUGAUGGUGCAUGCAUCGACAUCUGGCUUAACAUUUGGGUCAGCAUUGACAUCGACAUCAAGAUGUAGAAUGUGGGGGACGUUGGUGGCUCGAAAUAUUUACCUACGAGAAUAGAAGAAUUGGGUACGUACGAUGGUGGUGCUGAUAGCAUGUUUAUUUUGUAUGUUUUACGUGUUUAAAUAAAUUGAUUCUUGAAUCAAUUCUUGUUAAAUUGGUGAUUUUAUGCUUAAGUUAUGUCAAGAACAUAAUUCAGAUGCUUUAAAUAAAAAACAAGAAAAAAAGGACUAAACUAGAGCACAAGCAAUAAAAGAGGGGCUGAAUCAGAUAUUUUGAGACAUUUAAGGAUUGAUCAGAGUAAAAGCCAUAUUUGGAAAAAAAAUCUUAUAUGAAUUUGAUUUCAUGUAAUUGGUUGUUAGGUAAGUUAGGCUAAUUUUAAUAUAUGAUAAUAUGAGACCUUUGAAAUACAAAAAAUGCACAUUGUAUAAAUAGGAUGGUAUUCAGAUGACCUCUUGGGAUAGUACAGAUUCAUCGAUAAACUAUAUAUAUAAAUAGGAUGGGUGGUGACCUUUGAAAAACAGACUAGAAUACACGAGGAAAUUGAAUAUAAUUUAUCUUCUUUCUUUUCUUUCUCUCGUCAAAACUAGUGCAGGCAUUCUGCCAUUUUACUUUUUUUUUUCUCAUUUCUUUAUUUAUUAGCUUAAUUGCUUCCCAAGUCCCUUCACUUUCCACCUUCUACCAUUUCCAUUAAAUCCAUUUACAUAUACCAACUAGCACGAUUAAGCUUAUGCUUAACUAAUUCCCUUUUAGCUAUAGUCUGGUUAUUACUUCGACAAAACAAUUGUGAGAUAUGAACUCGCAGUAAAAAAUUUUUAAUACGGUAUUCGCUAUCUCUCCGGAAUAUGGGAUAGUACAAAUUCAUCCUGUAAAGUUAAUUCAAUUUCAAUUCAAAAAGUGCACGUUGGGUUGGAGUUGUCUGGCGUAUAGUUGGAAAGCCAAGUCGACCGUGCUGUAUUCUAAUUCCCGUGAACAAAUUGGCAUGCCCAGAUGGGAAAAUGUCAGUUGGAUCCCGUCAAGGGAGAUAGUGGUCAGAUUUAAACGACCCAUGAGGUUGAGGCCGUUGAUCCUAGUUGGAGUGUACUGAAACUGAGACUGGGGCUAAGCUUUAAUAUUAUUAGUUCACCGAUUUAAUUUAAUUUAUUUAAUUUUAUUUUGCUACCAUAAUUCUUGUUUUAUUGUAUUAGAUUAUAUUAUAUUAUUUUAUCUAUCAACUAAAUCUCCCUAUUUUGUUUAUUUUACAGUUUUACACACAUAGGACGAGGGCACAACAGUUGCAUAGACUUAGAAAUCUCGUCAUGAAAAUAGGAAAAUUAGGAGUCUUAGUCCCUUUGGGAUCGACCCUAUUACUCUAUACUACUAUUUAAUUAAGUAAGAGUGUAGGAAUUUAUAUUUCGUGGAUUCGACAUCCAUCAAAUUUUGAUGCCAUUGUUGGAAAUAUUUUUUUUCUAGUUUUCGUUUGUUUUCUUUAUGUCCAGGUCAGAACUGAGGACUUUAGAAUUUGAACCAAAAAUAGAGAAGUUGGCUUGGACACUGUAAAGAGAUGCUAUUCGACACAGUAAACGGUCACAACCCGAGUUCGAAACAAGAUUUUAUACCGAACAUAUUUUCCCAUUCAAUAAACCAAACGAAAUGGUAGGUCAAACUAAACGCCAACUCACAGUAGCACCAGAUGAAUAAUAACCACUAUGCAUAACUUAUCUGGCGGAAGGAACGCCGUUCGAGUUGAAAUCAAGAUUAAUUCAUUUAUUGCCCAUCUUCCGUAGAUUGUAAAAUAAAAAUCUGCAUACCCAUCUUAAAGAAUUUCACAUAGUUUGCACAAGCAUGAAACCUCAGGGAGUGACUGAAGGUCAAAUUAAACUUUAUUUUUUUCUUUCUCGUUGCCGACUCUGCUGGAAAGUAAUUAUUUUAUUUACCUCCUGAUGUAGUUAAUACAAGUUUGGUAUGUCUUAUUUAUUUCUUAACAGAUUUUUCCCAGCAGCUCGAACAGCCGAAUUGAUUAAAUGCUAAAAUUACAUGUUUUAUGUAAUUAAAUUGGUUAAUUUAUGAGAGUGUACCAUUGAUUUUUCCAUGUUUAUAUUGAAUUUUAUGCAGAGGUGUAAUUUGGGGUUAAAUAGAAGAUAAAUGAAAUAAUUGGGCUAGAUUGAAGAAAAGAGCAAAGAAGGUGGGCCAAAGCAGAAUUUUUCCAAGAUGUAAUUAGCUGAAAUUUUAUGUUGACUUAGUGGGAGAUUAUGUAGGGAUUUCUAUAUCAUGAAAAAUUUUAUUUCCUUGAUUUUCUAUGGCUAGUGGCUCUUAAUUUAGCAAAGCCACUAGUAUAAAUAGGGGUUACUAUGUUCAUUCAUUCAUCAAGUCAUUAAUCAAGUUUUUAAUUACCAAGUUUUUUUUAUUAAGUUUUGCAUCAGGUUCUUUUUAAACUUUUCAUCAAGUGUUUUUAAUCAAGCUUUCAUCUUCUGAAAUAUAAUAUUUCCUUUCGUCUUUAUUUGCUAGCAUUAGUUCCUUAUUUUCUCUUUCAUUAUUUAAUUUUCAGCUUUAGAAAUACUGCACCCAAACCUUGCGUCACCCACAUCCAUCUACUUUCAUUUCUUUUAUUCAACCCUCUCCAAAUAUGCCCAACUCCAACAUGCCUCAAACUUUAGCCAACUAAACCCCUUUCAGUUUUAGGUCGGUGUUAACCCUGUCAAAGACUCGUGAGUUAUGAACCCAAGCAAUUUAACUCCUAAUUUUUAGUAUUUAUUAUUUCUCCAGAUUAAGAGUAUGACUUUGUUAACUCACAAAGUCAAAUCAACACUAAGUCAAAAAAGACGUCGUUUGAGUUAGUGUGGUUAGACGUACAGUUGGAAUUCUGAAAGGAUCGAUUGUCUAAUUGGUUUUCCGUAAACACAUUGGCGUGCCAAGUGGGGAUUGCUGUUUGGUUCCGUCAAGGGAAGUAGUAACCGAAUUUAAAUGUCCCACGCGAUUGAGGGCAUUGGUUCGAGCUAGGCUCUUCUAGAACGCAAAGCUGCUGGAGUUCUAAAUCAUGAACGUUUCGUAGGUUGAUCGUUCGGUAAGGGUUAGUUAUUGGACGUUCCAUAACUAAUUUACACAAGGAAGAGUUGGUGUCUAAGGCGUCCUUGGUAGCUAUAACUAGCUUAUUGGAAAAGAAGAGUUCAUCUAAUUUCGAAGAUCAGUUCAAAGACGAGGAAAAACCCUUGCCUGAAGUUGAGCUAAGUUUAACUAAUUUUUCUUCAGAUUUAUUUAACUAUUUUUAUUAUUUUAUUUUAAGCUUUUACUUUUUACGCAUUUUUAUUUAUUUAUUUCAAGUUUCAAAUUUUAUCCCUUCGAACUUCUUGGGCACAACAAUUGCCCAGACAUGAAUCUAGUUGAGAAAGAGCAACAAUUUUACGUGAACCCAGUCUCUGAGGGAUCGACCCUACUCCCUAUACUGCUUAAAUUGCAAAUUAGGCAUAGAUUUAUAUUGGUAAACUCGACAACCAUUACGAAUUAAUGAGAGACAUUGUAGAAAUUCAAAAAAUUUGGUACAUGUUCUUAGAGGUUAUAAUUGGGUGAUCGGAUGGACGAUUGUCGACAUUAAAGGUUUGAGUUGUUUGACUUGUAUGCACAAAAUUCCAGUAGCAGAGAAUGUGAUUCCCAAAAGAGAAACUCAAAGACGUCUCAAUCCGCCAAUGAUGGAAGUAGUAAGGAAAGAAAUUUAGAUAUUACUUGACACCGGGAUGAUCUAUCCCAUAUCUGACAGUAAUUAGGUUAACCCAGUUCAUGUAGUGCCAAAAAAGAUCGAUAUAACUGUAAUUGAAAAUUCGUUAGGUGAGAUAGUUCCCACUCAGAUCCAAAACGGGUGGAGAGUCUGCCUAGAUUAUAUGAAGGUGAAUUCUUCAACUUGAAAAAACCACUUUCCACUUCCUUUUAUUGACCAAAUGCUAGAACAUUUAACUGGUAAGUCUUGCUAUUACUGUUUUGAUGAUUAUUUAGGUUUUUUUUCUAGAUGUUAGUGGAACCGGAGGACUAAGAGAAGACGAUGUUUAUGUGUCUCUUUGGCACAUUCGCCUAUAGGUGAAUGCCGUUUGGACUAUGCAAUGCACUAGCCACGUUCCAAAUGUGUAUUGUAAGUAUAUUUUCCAACUAUGUCGAGAAAAUAAUUGAGGUAUUUAUGGAUGACUUUACUAUGUAUGGUAAAUCUUUUUAUACAUUUCUAUCAAAUCUUGCCUAAAUUUUUAGAAAGGUGCCUAGAAUUUAACAUUGUUCUAAAUUAUGAGAAAUGUCAUUUUGUGGUUGACAAAUGAUUAGUUUUAGGCCAUAUUAUUUCUGCUGAAAGAAUUUCAGUUGAUAAGGCAAAAAUUGAUGUUAUUAACUCUAUUUCAUACCCCACAACUGCGAGGGAGAUCCAUUCUUUUCUUGGUCAUGUAGGUUUUUACAAAGAUUCAUUAAAGAUUUUUCAAAUAUUGCACAACCACUUUGUAACCUCUUACAGAAAGACAAAGAAUUUGAGUUUGAUUAAUCAUGCAAGGAUGCGUUUGACACACUCAAACACAAACUAAUUUUGGCACCUAAAGUAUAGUCACCAAAUUGGAACUAUCCUUUCGAAAUCAUGUGUGACACAAGUGACCACAAUAUAGGAGUGGUCCUUGGGAAAAGAAUCAAGAAGGAAUUGCAUGUUAUCUCUUAUGCAUCUAAGAACUUGGAUGUCCCCCAAAGUAACUAUUCGACCAUUGAAAAAGAAUUUUUAACUAAAGUCUUUGCUUUGGAAAAGUUUUGAUCAUAUUUAUUAGGAACUAAAAUUGUUGUUUUCUCUGACCAUGUAGCUAUUAUUAGAUUGAUUUUAUCGGAAAAAAAUAAGCAAAGCCAAGACUUAUUAGAUUGAUUUUGCUUUUGCAAUAAUUCGAUCUCGAGAUUAAGGAUAAGAAAAGAUGCAAGAAUUUGGUAGCUGACCAUUUGAGCCAAAUACCCCUAUCAAAAGAUGUCACUCCUUUUAAAGACGGUUUCCCAGACAAAAAUUUACUUUUUACACAAACAAUUUUUCCUUAGUACGCGGAUAUGGUAAACUAACUUUCUACAUGCAUCAUUUCUUUUAAUUUAUCACGAUCUGAAAAGGAUAAGAUUAAAAGAGAAUCGCGAUAUUAUGUUUGAGAUAACCUCUACUUUUGGAAAUGUUGUUCUGAUCAAGUAAUUUGAUGAUGCGUUGGAGAAACUGAGAUAAAAUCAAUUUUAGCUUUUUGUCAUUCUUACGUAUAUGGUGGACAUUUUGGCCCUAAAUGAACUACACAUAAGAUACUUGAAUGUGGAUUAUUUUGGCCACAUUUUUUCGUGAUGCGUAUUUAUUUUGUAAAACUUGUGAAAGAUGUCAAAAGGUAGGAAAUUUGAGCUGAAAGAAUGAAAUGCCUCUAACACCUAUACAUGUAUGUGACAUUUUUUAUAUCUAUGGCAUCAAUUUUAUGGGACCUUUUGUUUUAUUGUUUAGUAACAUUUAUAUUUUUCUUGCUGUUGACUAUGUGUCUAAAUGGGUGGAAACUAGAGUUGCCCGUCGUGAUGAUGCUAAAACUGUAGUAGGAUUUCUAAAAAAAAUUAUUUUUUCCAAAUUUGGAACACCAAAAGCGUUGAUGAGUGAUUGGGGAACGCACUUCUACAAUAAGGUAAUCGACGUGGUUUGAAAAAAAUAUAGGGUAAUACAACAAGUUGCUAUGGCUUAUCACCCUCAAUCAAACGGUCAAGCGAAAGUGUCAAAUCAAGAAAUAAAAUUGAUUUUGGAAAAGACUGUUAUGACAGAUAGGAAAGAUUGGAGUUUGAAACUAAAUGAUGCAUUGUCGGCAUACUACACAGCUUAUAAGGGACACAUAAGUAUGUCUCCUUACCGACUUAUAUUUGGAAAACCAUAUCAUCUUCCUAUAGAAUUAGAACACAAGGCAAUUUGGGUUGUUAAGCAAUACAACAUGGAGCUAGAUGUUGCAGGUAAGUAUCAAAAAUUACAUAUUCAGGAACUUGAGGAAAUUCGAUGAGAAGCAUACGAAAAUACCCAAAUUUAUAAAGAUAAAAUCAAGGCAUUCCAUGAUCAAAAGAUAACUCAUCAACUUUUUUUAAUGGGCAGAAAAUACUACUUUAUGACCCUACACUAAGAAUUUUUAGAGGUAAACUUUGAAUUAAAUGGUUAGGGCCUUUUGUUAUUUUUACAUAUUUCCGCAUGGUGCAGUCAAAAUUAGAAGUGAAGAAUCUGGAAAAAUCUUCAAAGUCAAUGGACAGUGUUUGUAGCCUUUCUACGAAAAUUUUCAAGUGCGCAUGGUCGAGGAGUUAAUACUUGAAGAGCCGAUUGAAUAAACUUUCAAGUCGUCAAGCUAACAACGUUAAACAAUAGCGCUUUUUGGAAGGCAACCCAUAUUUAUAUUAAUUUAUUUAAUUUUGAAUUUCAAUUUAAUUUAGGUUAAAAAUAAAAUAAAUAAUAACAAGAUUAUUAUUUAAUCCAUUUUAAUGUGUAAUUCUCGAGGAACAUUGGUAUAGGCUGUAAUUUUUCCUCCCGAAGAACGAAUUCUGCUCGUGACAUGGCAUGGCCACGCUUUGUGCUGCCAUUUCUCUUUAUAACCUACAAAUAAAAACCCAAAAUCAGCCCAACACCCCACACCCAAAACAAGCCCAACACCUCACACCCAAAACAAGCCCAACACCUCACACCCAAAUAGAAAAAAAGAGGGAAGGAAAAAAGAAAGGACUGAAUGGCUAAAUGUGGCCCAACUAUAAAAAAUAAGAACCCCCCCAAAAAGAGUACCCCAAGCUCAUAAUCCCACCAUUCUUCUCCCUUUCUUCUUCUUCCUUUACUCAUAACAAAAACCCUAACUUCAUCAUCACCCUCACGCUGCCACCAUCGCCAAAUGUUGCUACCAUCACGGAACAUCGAUUAAUCUUCUCAGUUCCUCACCAACCACCACCACUCACCUCUUCUAUUUUGUUUUCUUUAUUCCACCGUCGAACCCCUGCACCUCCACCAUUAUCGAUAACACUACCACCUACCAAACCCAAAAUCACCAUCGUCCAUAUCACCGAUAUAUCUCUAUCAUAACUCAAAGUGGAUUUCCUUGAAAAUGGAAAAUUUGCCCGCCGGGUUUUAUCAAUUUGCAAAUUCUUCGUCAGUUAGUUAAAAGAAUGAAAUUGGCUGAUAUUAUGACGAUACUAGGUAGCAUAGAUAUCAUUAUGAGAGAAGUGGAUCGUUGAAAUGAUAAUUUAUACGACAGAAGUAGAAGAUAUCAAUUCCUUUUACACAUUGAAUCUUUAAACCAUUCAACCUCUCCUUCUCCUCAAAAACCAGAACUGUCUCAAGCCUGAACAAUUGCUGCUUCGUGCGCUUUUGUUUGAUGAAAAUUGAUUGUUUAAAAAUUUGCUUGUUAAGUAUAUCAUUCUUAGUUGUUUAAUUUUAAAUGUAUUUACUAAUGGCAAAAAAAAAGAAUAAUUAAUUCUACUCCGUUAAGGGCUUAAGCUAUGAGUGAAGAUUUUGGAAAUGUGACCGAAUUUAGUAACCAAAAUGAGGUGCUUGGGUUGUCAUCUCAUUUCACGUAAAAAGGUUUGAGUGAUAAAUCGAAAACUUGCAAACACUCCGCUAACCGAGCUACCAUAAGUAGGGAAAAAUAAUCUGUUUGGAGACGUGUCAGAUUGAGUAACCGAGGUAAGGUGCUUGGGUUAUCAUUUCACUUCGCAUGAAAAUGUUUGACUAUGUCCCAAAUUUACUACAUAAUUAAUUGAGAAUAAAUACCUUGCAAAUUUUGGUUCAAUUUCAAUUUAGUGAAAUGAUCGAAUUUACAUGUUUAAAUUUUGUGGACACUCGUUGAUUAAACUGAGUAUUUGAACACUUAUUCAUUUUUUCACCUAAAUUGUUUGUAUUGAUCAUGGUUACGGAAAAGAGACUUGAUUUCUAAUAAAUUAUUGGAUAGUUUCUAAUGUAGGAACAUACGAUAUGCUUGAGGAGAAACACAGACUAAGUAGGGGAUUUGAUUGCAUGUGCAUUUUGCAUGUUUUACAUGUUUAAAUCAAUUUAUUCUUGAAUAAAUUCCUGGUAAAUUGGUGAUUUUGUGUUUAAAUUCUGUCAGGAACGCAAUUCGGAUGCUUUAAAUAAAAAAACAAGUAAAAAAGGACUAAAUUGGAGCACAAGCAAUAAAAGAGGGGCUGAAUUGGAAAUUUCGAGACAUUUAAAUACUAAUCAAAUUUUUGUCUUUGUAAAAGCCAUAUUUAGAAAAAAAAUCUAAUAUGAAUUUGAUUUCAUGUAAUUGGUUGUUAAGCGAGUUAGGCUAAUUUUAGUAUAUGAAAUAUAUAUAAAUAGGAAGGGUGGUGGUCUUUGAAAAAUAGGCUGAAAUACACGAGGAAAUUGAAUACAAUUUAUCUUCUUUUUUUCGUCAAAACUAGUGCAGGCAUUUUGCUAUUUUACUUUUUUUUUUCAUUUCUUUACUUUUUGGCUGAAUUGCUUCCCAAGUUCCUUCUCUUUCCACCUUAUACCAUUUCUAUUAAAUUUUUUUACGUACACCAACUAGCAUGAUUAAGCUCAUACUUAACUAAUUCCCUUUUAGCUUUAGCCCGGUUAUCGCUCUGACAAAACAAUCGUGAGAUAUGAGCUUAUACUAAAAACUUUUCAACACAAUAUUCACUAUCUCUCUGGAAUAUGGGAUAGUACAAAUUCAUCCAUUAAAGUUAAUUCAAUUUCAAUUCAAAAAGUGCACGUUGGGUUGGAGUUGUUUGGCGUACAAUUGGGAAGUCGAGUAGGCCGUGCUGUAUUCAAAUUCCCGCGAACAAACUGGCGUGUUUAGGUGGGAAAAGGCCAGUUGGAUUUCGUUAAGGGAGAUAGUGAUUGGAUUUAAACGACCCAGAUGGUUGACGCCGUUUAUUUGAGUUAGGUUCUCCAGAACGCAAGGUUGUCGGAGUCUUAAAUUACGAACAUGUAUAUCACAGUUAAAUAAUCGGUAAGGGUUGGUUUUUAGGUCAUACUAGAAUCAACUUCAAAAGGAAAAAUUAGCAGUUGAGACAUUUUUGGUCGCUGUAACCAAUUUAUUGCUUGGAAGGGAAAAUCUAUUUUUCAAGGAUCAGUUCAAGUUUGGAGUGUAUCGAGGCUGAGGCUAAGCUGUAAUAUAAUUAGUUCAAUGAUUUAAUUUAAUUUAAUUCAUUUAAUUAUAUUUUGCUACCAUAAUUCUAUUUUUAUUUUAUUUUAUUAUAUACUUAUUUAUUUUAUUUUCACUAUCAACUAAAUCUCCCCCUUUCAUUUAUUUUACAGUAUUGCACGCAUAGGUCGAGGGUACGACAAUUGCCUAGACUACGAAAUUUGGUCACAAAAAUAGGAAAAUUAAGAGUCUCAAUCCCUGUGGGAUUGAUUCUAUUACUCUAUACUGCUAUUUAAUUAAGUUAAAGUGCAAAAAUUUAUAUUUGGUGGAUUAGACACCCAUCAGGUGCGUAGUACGAUGCUUGUGAAAAAACAUGGGGUUAGUGAAUUGAACAGAGACAAGUAGAGUGCACUAAUCGAAAUAUUGUGUGGGCAUAGAUGGCACUUCCUGGGGUGGAGUCAAUAUGAACCCAUCAUGCAGCUGCAUCUGGCCCUGCGCUACUGCUGGGGCAAUUGCCGUUGCCUCUUCUAACGAAAUUACCUACUGUUCGCCUCCAUAGAUAGCAGAUAUGGCUUGCUGGUGACUCUAAACCACAACAAGUACUCUAAACAGGCCACCGUGUCCACUGAGAAAAAUGGUUUACAGAUGGGUAAGAAUUUCAUCUUACAAUCCCAAGCCUCGAUGCACUCCUUGUGCAUCUCUCACAAAUUUUCUUCGUUCUUCCCACGCAUGUCCACCUUGGGCAAUUCUUUCAAGUCUUGCGGUGGUGGUGGAAUUUGUUACCUCUAACUUAACUGCUGCACCACCUUGUCUAAUUCAUGCAUUUCCACCGUCACGUACACUUUCAACGGUACCUUCAUAUCCCACAUCCUUCAAUUGUCCAAUAGUUCCGAGGGGAUGCAAGGUAUGAUAUUGAUGUCGGCGUAUAACAUCCUUUCAAACUGAAAUGCACAAUUGUAAAUUUCAUUAUGUACGAAAUUUUAUUUUACAAAUCAUUGUGUAAUUAAUUUUAGGUUCGAAAGAAUAAGUAACUAACCUCGGCUUCCAAGCGUUGAUCUAAAAAUAGCCAAAUGUCUUCAGCCUCCUCGGGCAGUCCCACGUAACUCGGCCCAUAAUUCAACCUGUAAAAGUGAUAUGUUAGUUCAAAUAUAUGAUAAAUAACAACAUUUACCGUACAAACUACGAUUUAUUAAUAAAUGAUUUUUACCUUGUCACUAACGGAAACAUGUAUGAGUCGUUGACUCAGGGACGUAGAAAUGGUAGUCACCACUAGGCCCACGACGGCAAUAGUAGCAGGUAACCACCAAUCGACAUCUUAUCUGAUUCUGUGGCCCAACACAACUCCUGGUACAAUGUGGCCAAUAUGGCUAAUUCCCAACUUAGUUUUCUGUGUUCUUUGAAGUCUACUAGGUAUAGUAGCCACAUUGUGUGUACCAAAUUUUAAGAUUUAUCGGGCAUUAAAAUCCUCCUGAUUAACGGAAGGAUGAAUGCUUAGGCGUAUUGUUCUUUGACGACCUCGAUCAUAUCCACAAGAAGCUUAUCAAAUUUUUUUGCCAACCAAUUCAUCAAUAUCUGGCCACCAUCAAACUUGUUCGGGACCUUCCCCAAUAAUGCCGCGCAGAGAUCCUCUUUACCGAAAAUGAUCGCUGCUCCUGUGAUGACCGACCCAUCCCCCGACAAAUCAAAUUGUAAUGCCAUGUCCUCUAGUGUGAUUGUACAGUCGCCGCAUGAAAGAUAGAAAAUGUAACGAGUUGUUUUCAAUGAAAUCGGAACAGUGGUUUCGGGACCACAAAUCUGAGUUCAUAAGAAAAAUUAUUUUAAUAUUAUUUCAUGAUUUGCAUUAUGAUAGGAAUAUCGUAUAAAAAUUUUGUUGGGAAAAUUUUACCGAUUACAUGUUUAAUUGGUAAAAUGACCAAAUUGUAUGAAAUGCAAAAGUUGAGUUCUAGCAGCUAUAAGUAUCAAAUAGCUAUGGAAUUCAAAUUUGAGGUCCUUAUAUGGUAAAUAGACCAUUAAGAGGAGUUAGUAGAUAAGUAUGAUGAUUCAUCCAUGAAAAGUUAAAUAAAGAAAAGAACAAAAUUGGAAAAAUGAAAAAAAGAAGAUAAAUAAUAAAAUAAAAGAAAAUAUCAUCAUUUAUAUCAUCUUUUCCAAAAUUAAAUACAUGGAAACCCUAGCUAAGAGAAGAGAACUCAAGCAACUUAUUUGGCUCAAUUAGGUAUGUUUUCUUGUCCCGUUUUUAAUAAUUUUCAUAUUUCUAAGAUCGUAAUAGCUUAAUUUAGCUAUCUCAGGGAUUAACUUGUAAAUUUAUCAAAGUAUUAAAAUUUUUCCAUGGAUGAAUAUGCAUGAAUCAUGAAAUUUAUGGUAAAAAAUGAAAGGUUGUUGAUAGAUAAACAACUUUUAUAAAGUAAAUUUUGAUGAAAUUGUGAUUUAAAGACUAAAUUGAAAAGAUGUAAAAUUUAUGGAAAAAUUCUGAAUUUUAUGAAUUACAUGGGCUGCAAAUGUUAUAUGUAAAAAUUGGCUAGACUUGGAAUAAGGAUUAAAUUGCAUUAAUUUCAUUUUUCGAGCCUAGGGAUGAAAUUGUAAUUAAAUAAAAGUAUAUGGGAAAAAUGGUAGUUUUACCUACGAUGUGACUUGGAUUAAAUUGAAUAUGAAUUGUAUUAAAUUGAGCUAAAUUUACUCGUAUAGAUCCGAAUAGACCAAAUAUAGAGAUAGAUCGUGGAAAAGAGAAAGUAACGAAUUAGUAGAUUUUGUAUACACGAACAUUGUCAAGGUAAGUUUCAUGUAACUAAAUUGUGUAUAUUUAUAUGUUUGAAUUGAAUGUUGUAUAUGUGAAUUGUAUAAAUUCCAUAUAUAUGAAAUUGAUCACAUAUCCGAUAAUGCCCAAAAAUUAUUAAGUCUUGUUUGAAUAAAUGAAAUUCGAUGAAUAUAGAGUUCCCGAAUUGGUUGUGGUCCUACAUAUGUUGUUGACACACCAAGCUUGAAAGAGCGUCCCGUUAUUAGCUCUCAUGAGCAUUCCGAUAUUUGGCCCUCUUGAGCUUCCCGUUAUAUGGUUCUUACGAGAUUCCUAUUAAUAGCUCUUCGGAGCAUCUCGAUUGGUUGUGAUUCUGCAUGUGUUGUAGACACACCACAACUCUUAUAAGCGUCCUGAUUAAAGGCUCUUUAUGAGAUUUCUGAUUAAUGGCUCUCCGGAGCUUCCCAAUAUUGGCUUGCUUAAACUUCCCGAUAUAUGGUUAUUCGGAGCUUCUUGAUUAAUGGCUCUUCGGAGCUACCCAUUAUUGGCUCGUACGAGCUUCCUGAUUAUGGCUCUUAUGAGCUUCCUGUUAUACAGCCCGGAUAAGCUUCCCAUUACAUGACUCACAUAAGCUUCCCAUUAUUAGGAUCAAGAGACGGCUUCCUAAUUAUGUGCUCUAAGGAGCACUCCCAAAUAUGAAUUGACGGAUUACAGUUUUGUACACUUCGUGUGUACUAUGCGUGUAUCCAUUGAAUAAUGAAUGACUCAACUGGUAAAGUUUUGAUAUGAGAUGAUAUGGAUUCAUGACGAAUUGUUACGGAAAUAUACCUAAAAAACAAGGAUAUGAUAUGUACAUGUUAUAUGGAUUUUUAAUCUGGAAUAUAUAUAUGUAUAUGGAAAUUUGAUUAUUAUUGAGCUCAAACAUGUUUCUUGAUACUCAUAUGAAAUAUGUGACUAACAUGGUUGAUAAGGAUAUAUGUUAGGGCUUUUGGCCAAAUUACUUGAGUAUGCUUUGAAUACUUACCUUAAUUGUAAAUGAAUGGUAAGUUAAUUACCCGUUAUACGAACUUACUAAGCAUAAUAUGCUUACUCUGUUUUAUUUUCCUCUGUCUUAUAGUAAAUCGGAAGCUCGUUGGGUUGGAAGCUUGGUGAAGAUAUCAUCACACUAUCCAUCGGCUCAUCUCGGUAUAUUUAGUAAAUUAACUUUGAUUAUAAUGGCAUGUAUAGGUUAAUUUGACCAUUGAUGGCAUGUAAAUAUUUUGUUGUGAUUAGCCAUUUGAAUGUCUUAUGUUUGACACAUUUUGAUAUAUACAAGUAUAUGGCCUUAUCAUGGUUGAUAUGUGUCUUGGUAUAUAUGAUUGAUGGUUAACUAAUAGGCAAAUUGUAACAUGGUUUGAGUUGGUAUAGUUGGUACAAAUAUGAAUAUAUAUGUAAGUGAUUAAAUUGUUAAGUAUGGAUACUUGGUUAUAUAUGAUGAUAUGAUAUGCAUAAGACUUGGUUUUGGUUUAAUUCAAAUGUUUUAUAUUGGUUUGGGAAUUUGUUUAAGUGUUAAUGUAGGUGGAAGACAAGUUUGGGUAAGAAUAUGGAUAAGAAAUGGUCUUAUUUUGUCCACACGGGCAGAGACAUGGGCGUGUGUCUCAGUCGUGUGUGACACACGGCCUAGCACAAGGAAGUGUGUUUUGGCCGUAUGUCCCCUACAUCUUAAAAAUUUCAAAACAGAAUGCUCAAUAUUAAUCAUGCAGCCUGACACACGGCCUAGCACAAGGGCUUGUAACUUGGUCGUGUGACCUAAGUCAGAGAGUUACACGGGUACAGACACGGGCUGAGACACAGCCGUGUGCUCAUUUCGAAUGCCACACGGCCUAAGAGACGGCCUAAGGCACGAGUGUGUCUCUUGGCCGUGUGAGCCACACGGCCUAACCACACGGGCAUGUGUACCCUGCACUUUGGAAAAAUUUUGAGAUUUUACGAAAAAUUCUCUGAGUACCUGGCUUAGUCUCGACUUG